Molecule: ribosomal RNA, 1956 nt
Filed under: human gut metagenome
Description: bacterial LSU rRNA
Rfam family: Bacterial large subunit ribosomal RNA
Source: RNAcentral
UUAAGUUAAUAAGGGCGCACGGUGGAUGCCUUGGCACUAGAAGCCGAUGAAGGACGUGACUAACGACGAAAUGCUUUGGGGAGUUGUAAGUAAACAUUGAUCCAGAGAUGUCCGAAUGGGGGAACCCGGCAUGUGAAGCAUGUCACUCAUUACUGUUAAGGUAAUGAAGAGGAAGACGCAGUGAACUGAAACAUCUAAGUAGCUGCAGGAAGAGAAAGCAAACGCGAUUGCCUUAGUAGCGGCGAGCGAAACGGCAAGAGGGCAAACCGAUGUGUUUACACAUCGGGGUUGUAGGACUGCGUUGUGGGACGCAAGAUUAUAGAAGAAUUACCUGGGAAGGUAAGCCAAAGAGAGUAAUAGCCUCGUAAUCGAAAUAAUCUUAAACCCUAGCAGUAUCCUGAGUACGGCGAGACACGAGAAAUCUCGUCGGAAUCCGGGAGGACCAUCUCCCAACCCUAAAUACUCUCUAGUGACCGAUAGUGAACCAGUACCGUGAGGGAAAGGUGAAAAGCACCCCGGGAGGGGAGUGAAAUAGAACCUGAAACCGUGUGCCUACAACAAGUUCGAGCCCGUUAAUGGGUGAGAGCGUGCCUUUUGUAGAAUGAACCGGCGAGUUACGAUAUGAUGCGAGGUUAAGUUGAAGAGACGGAGCCGUAGGGAAACCGAGUCUUAAUAGGGCGCUUUAGUAUCAUGUCGUAGACCCGAAACCAUGUGACCUACCCAUGAGCAGGGUGAAGGUGAGGUAAAACUCACUGGAGGCCCGAACCAGGGCACGUUGAAAAGUGCUUGGAUGACUUGUGGGUAGCGGAGAAAUUCCAAACGAACUUGGAGAUAGCUGGUUCUCUCCGAAAUAGCUUUAGGGCUAGCGUCGAUGUUAAGUCUCUUGGAGGUAGAGCACUGUUUGAUUGAGGGGUCCAUCCCGGAUUACCAAUAUCAGAUAAACUCCGAAUGCCAAUGAGAUAUAAUCGGCAGUCAGACUGCGAGUGCUAAGAUCCGUAGUCGAAAGGGAAACAGCCCAGACCACCAGCUAAGGUCCCAAAAUAUAUGUUAAGUGGAAAAGGAUGUGGGGUUGCACAGACAACUAGGAUGUUGGCUUAGAAGCAGCCACCAUUUAAAGAGUGCGUAAUAGCUCACUAGUCGAGUGACCCUGCGCCGAAAAUGUACCGGGGCUAAAACAUAUUACCGAAGCUGUGGAUACCUAUUAUAGGUAUGGUAGGAGAGCGUUCUAUGUGUGAAGAAGGUGUACCGUGAGGAGCGCUGGAACGCAUAGAAGUGAGAAUGCCGGUAUGAGUAGCGAAAGACAGGUGAGAAUCCUGUCCACCGUAAGACUAAGGUUUCCAGGGGAAGGCUCGUCCGCCCUGGGUUAGUCGGGACCUAAGGAGAGACCGAAAGGUGUAUCCGAUGGCCAACAGGUUGAUAUUCCUGUACUAGAGUAUAUAGUGAAGGAGGGACGCAGUAGGCUAACUAAAGCGUGCGAUUGGAAGAGCACGUCUAAGCAGUGAGGUGUGAUAUGAGUCAAAUGCUUGUAUCUCUAACAUUGAGCUGUGAUGGGGAGCGAAGUUAAGUAGCGAAGUUAGUGAUGUCACACUGCCAAGAAAAGCUUCUAGCGUUAAUUAUACUCUACCCGUACCGCAAACCGACACAGGUAGUCGAGGCGAGUAGCCUCAGGUGAGCGAGAGAACUCUCGUUAAGGAACUCGGCAAAAUGGCCCCGUAACUUCGGGAGAAGGGGCGCUGGCUUUAAGUCAGCCGCAGUGAAUAGGCCCAAGCAACUGUUUAUCAAAAACACAGCUCUCUGCUAAAUCGUAAGAUGAUGUAUAGGGGGUGACGCCUGCCCGGUGCUGGAAGGUUAAGAGGAGCGCUUAGCGUAAGCGAAGGUGUGAAUUGAAGCCCCAGUAAACGGCGGCCGUAACUAUAACGGUCCUAAGGUAGCGAAAUUCCUUGUCGGGUAAGUUCC